ACGAACGCUGGCGGCGUGCCUAAUACAUGCAAGUAGAACGCUGAAGGAGGAGCUUGCUUCUCUGGAUGAGUUGCGAACGGGUGAGUAACGCGUAGGUAACCUGCCUGGUAGCGGGGGAUAACUAUUGGAAACGAUAGCUAAUACCGCAUAAGAGUAGAUGUUGCAUGACAUUUGCUUAAAAGGUGCAAUUGCAUCACUACCAGAUGGACCUGCGUUGUAUUAGCUAGUUGGUGGGGUAACGGCUUACCAAGGCGACGAUACAUAGCCGACCUGAGAGGGUGAUCGGCCACACUGGGACUGAGACACGGCCCAGACUCCUACGGGAGGCAGCAGUAGGGAAUCUUCGGCAAUGGACGGAAGUCUGACCGAGCAACGCCGCGUGAGUGAAGCAGGUUUUCGGAUCGUAAAGCUCUGUUGUAAGAGAAGAACGAGUGUGAGAGUGGAAAGUUCACACUGUGACGGUAUCUUACCAGAAAGGGACGGCUAACUACGUG
Molecule: ribosomal RNA, 494 nt
Filed under: uncultured bacterium
Lineage: Bacteria
Description: partial 16S ribosomal RNA
Rfam family: Bacterial small subunit ribosomal RNA
Source: RNAcentral